GUCAGGGUAGCCUACUGGUCGAAGGCGCCAGACUCAAGGGUGCAACCAUGGCUGGCCCAACAAAAUUUCCUACUAAAAAUUCGCUGGGCUGGCUGAGGUUCGCUGAGCAUUCUGGUAUCCGAAAGGAUGCGUGGGUUCAAUUCCCACCUCUGACC
Macrostomum lignano is the source of this 155-nucleotide non-coding RNA. Lineage: Eukaryota; Metazoa; Platyhelminthes; Macrostomidae. The record is from Rfam.